UACGUAGGGGGCGAGCGUUGUCCGGAGUACUGGGCGUAAAGCGCACGCAGGCGGUCUGCUAAGUUUGGAGUGACAGUUGGUGGCUUAACUGCCAAAGUGCUUCGAAAACUGACAGACUUGAGGGCUUCAGAGGGACACGGAAUUCCGGGUGGAGUGGUGAAAUGCGUAGAGAUCGGGAGGAACACCAGUGGCGAAGGCGGCCCUCUGGGCCGGGCCUGACGCUGAGACGCGAGGGCGUGGGGAGCGAACGGG
Molecule: ribosomal RNA, 252 nt
Filed under: uncultured bacterium
Lineage: Bacteria
Description: partial 16S ribosomal RNA
Rfam family: Bacterial small subunit ribosomal RNA
Source: RNAcentral